Molecule: ribosomal RNA, 615 nt
Filed under: Triticum aestivum (bread wheat)
Lineage: Eukaryota; Viridiplantae; Streptophyta; Magnoliopsida; Poales; Poaceae
Description: partial small subunit ribosomal RNA
Source: RNAcentral
AUGGCGUUCGCUGACGAGUACAAGGCCGUGGAGGCCGUGGAGGCCUACGGUAACACCAAGUUGCACGUCAUCCACACCAACGACAAGAAGCAGGUGGCGAUCUCCCUUGCGCAGUACGAGCGCCACCUCAGCCUCCAGCGCCACAAGAUCGUCGGCAUUGAUCUCGAGUACAACAACGAGCCUGAAGCGACGCAGAAACCCGCCCUCUGCCAACUCUCCGUCAGCAAGAAACACUCGGUGCUGCUCUUCCAACUUAGCGUUGCUAAAAGGUGCACCGUCUUCGACAACUUCCUCGCCGAACCUAGGUACACCUUUGCAGGCUUCUCCAUCAACGGCGACAAAAAAAGGCUAGAUCGCGUCAAUCUGGAGAAGAAGAUCACCGACAACGAGCACAAGCGCUGGGCCACCCUGCCUCUGUCCAUGAGGCACAUUGAGUACGCGGCAAAGGACGCCUACGCAGCAACAAACACGAGAGAGCAGAGGAUAGUCAUGGCGGAUGCACCUCUUUACAAGCAGCGCCGCAGGUACACUAGGGAGCUCCACGACGUCGAUCUACAUGGCAACCACAAGCUCCACGUCUUUGCACAAGCAAGGGUGAAGACAUGGACAAGAUGA